GCCGGGCGUGGUGGCGGACACCUGUAAUCCCAGCUACUUGGGAGGCUGAGGCAGGAGAAUCACUUGAACCCAUGAGGCAGAGGUUGCAGUGAGCCGAGAUUACGCCAUUGCACUCCAGCCCAGGUGACAGUGCAAGACUCCAUCAAAAUAAAUAAAUAAAUAAAUAAAAUAAAUAUUAAUAAUAAUUUUAAACAAUUAAAAAAUAUGGGGUUUUUUUGAGACAGAGUCUCACUCUGUCGCCCAGGCUGGAGUGCAGUGGCAUGAUCUCAGCUCACUGCAACCUCUGCCUCCUGGGUUCAAGUGAUUCUUCUGCCUCA
This 317-nucleotide small RNA is filed under the name Pan troglodytes (chimpanzee). The record is from RNAcentral. Lineage: Eukaryota; Metazoa; Chordata; Mammalia; Primates; Hominidae.